Molecule: small RNA, 21 nt
Filed under: Arabidopsis thaliana (thale cress)
Lineage: Eukaryota; Viridiplantae; Streptophyta; Magnoliopsida; Brassicales; Brassicaceae
Description: Ath_wt_19725
Source: RNAcentral
CCGGGACGUGGCGGUUGACGG